Molecule: ribosomal RNA, 253 nt
Filed under: uncultured bacterium
Lineage: Bacteria
Description: partial 16S ribosomal RNA
Rfam family: Bacterial small subunit ribosomal RNA
Source: RNAcentral
UACAGAGGGUGCGAGCGUUAAUCGGAAUUACUGGGCGUAAAGCGCGCGUAGGCGGCUUUGCAAGUCGAGUGUGAAAUCCCCAGGCUUAACCUGGGAACUGCAUUCGAGACUGCAUAGCUAGAGUAUGGGAGAGGGAAGUGGAAUUUCAGGUGUAGCGGUGAAAUGCGUAGAUAUCUGAAGGAACAUCAGUGGCGAAGGCGGCUCUCUGGGCCUUACCUGACGCUGAGGAACGAAAGCGUGGGUAGCGAACAGG